This 403-nucleotide ribosomal RNA is filed under the name uncultured eukaryote. Its description in RNAcentral is "bacterial SSU rRNA". It matches the Rfam family "Eukaryotic small subunit ribosomal RNA", at positions 574 to 868 of the family's 1831-position model. The record is from RNAcentral.
AGCCGCGGUAACACCAGCUCCACAAGCGUAUAUUAAUGUUGUUGCAGUUAAAAAGCUCGUAGUUGGAUAUCUGUCAUGACGGACCUGGUCCGGCUUCCCUGAUGGGUUGCUGUGUGCCGGUUUCGGUGUCCGGUUGUCGCGCUCGUUGUCGGGUUGGCCUUCGGGUUGAUCGGGCGAGUUGUGCUCCGUGUACACUUGUUCGUCGGACAUCCUUCAGGAGAACCGCUCUGCCAUUCACUUGGUUGGGGCGAGGAUCCUGAUCGUUUACUUUGAAAAAACUUAGAGUGUUUAACGCAGGCUUCAUUGUCGCGAAUAGAUUAGCAUGGAAUAAUAAGAUAGGACUUCGGCACCGCUGGUGAUUGCCGGUUGUGGCGUGGCCUUGUGUCRCGUCUGCGACUGGACC